GUCCUGGCUGUAAACGAUGCUCACUAAGUAGGGGAGAACCUGAUUUCUUCCCUGCCGAACCUAACGGAUUAAGUGAGCCGCCUGGGGAGUACGGUCGCAAGGCUAAAACUCAAAGGAAUUGACGGGGGCUCGCACAAGCGGUGGAGCAUGUGGUUCAAUUCGAAGCAACGCGAAGAACCUUACCCGGGCUUGACAUGCACGUAGUAGGAACCUGAAAGGGGGACGACCCGUAGAAUCGGGAGCGUGCACAGGUGUUGCAUGGCUGUCGU
RNAcentral lists this ribosomal RNA (269 nucleotides) under uncultured bacterium. Its description in RNAcentral is "partial 16S ribosomal RNA". It matches the Rfam family "Bacterial small subunit ribosomal RNA", at positions 793 to 1055 of the family's 1533-position model. The record is from RNAcentral.